GGGGAAGUAAGGUAGUGAAUUAAAUAAUCAUAACCCCUGAGUGUCUACUAGAAUUCCCAAAAUCUGAUGUCACAAGUGCACGAGCAUCUAGUAGAAUAUACAAAACUCCCUAAGAACUACUGUCUGAAACAAAUUAGACAAGAAUGAUAAAAAAACAUAACAAGAGACGGCUACGGGUGCUGCAGAACGGAGCAUGGGAAAGCAGCUCACCACUAAGCUUCCGGGUAAUGCGGAUACGCGCCCGGACUAACUCCAGAUGCACCUGCCUCAGAACCUGCACACUAUAUGCAAAAGUGUAGCGUGAGUANNNNNNNNNNNNNNNNNNNNAGGAUAUAAUCUCCAUCGACAAUUAAAUAUUUUGGCAACUUUCUAAGUAAUGGGGCUCGAUUUAACUUAAUCUUCAACCAAGUUUUUACCUAUUAAUACGAGAAAUUAAACUAGCAAGUUGAGUCCAAAUAGUACAAGUAAUAGCAUAAUAAAGGCCUAUAACUACUCGGACAUAAUAUGAAUUUUAGCUACGCACGGGCUCUCGUCACUUAGUGUGUAUGUAGCACCCACAAUAUUUAGCAAAUAACAAUUAAAAUACCUAUGGGGUUAAUUCCCUCUUACAAGGUUAGGCAAGAGACUUACCUCGUUCCCAAGUCCACUUUUUGAUCCACAAAUCGCUCUAAAAGAAUCAAGUCGGUGCCAAACAAUCCGAAACUAUCCAAAGGUUGUACAAACUAAUCAAUAAUUGCUCAAAAGUUUAUAAUUUAACUAUUAGAGUGAUUACCCAACCCAAUUUGGAAAGUUCCUAAAAUUCACCGCUGGGCCUACAUGCCUGGAUUCCGAAAAUGUUUGUAAAUAAAUGUUACCCAUAUGCUCAUGAACACAAAUAUAUAAUUUUUACCCAAUUUCAUAAUCAUUUUUGUGGUCUAAUCUCAUUUUUUAUCAAAUCUAGGGUUUUCAACCAAAAUCCUAAUAUUCCCACAAUUUACAUGUUAAAAUCUGCCCAUAAUCUAUGUAUCUAACUUACAUUGUAUUGAAAUUACUUACCUUCAAUAGCUAGGUGAAAACCCCUCUCCGAGAAACUCUAAAAACGUCCCACAAUUGAGAGAAAUGAACAAAAUAGCCAAAAUCCCAACUUUAAUAAAGUCUCUGCCCAGCUGCCCCUUCUUCGCGAUCGCGAAAAGUGCUUCGCGAUCGUGAAGGAAAAGCCUGCCUAGGCCCUGAAGCUCUUCUUCACGAACGCGACAGGGUCCUCGCGAUCGCGAAGGCUAGGCCAGCCCAAGCAUUGCGAACGCGAAGAGCAAUGACCCACAGACCUCCUGGCCCCAAAUCCUUUUACGCGAACGCGACCAAGCCAUCGUGAACGCGAAUGACACAGGUCUUGAAGCUUCGCGAACGCGACCCCAUCUUCGCGAAUGCGAAGAGCAAAAACACCCAGUCCCCAAAUCCUUCAUCAUGAACGCGAGGGUCCUUUCUCAUUCGCGAAUAAAGAAACCAGAACCAGCACACCAAUAGUUUUGGACUUAGAUCCGGGCGGUCUGAAACGCACCCGAGCCCCCCGGGACCCUGUCAAAAUACACCGACAAGUCCAUAACCAUAAUACGGACCUACCCGAACCCUAAAAACACAUAAAAACAUUAAAACUACGAACCGCAACCCAAAAUCAAAUUGAAUCAACUUAUGAACUUCAACUUCUUAAAUAGCUUCAAACGCGCAGAAUUAUACUUCGACUACUCGGAAUGACACCAAAUUUUGCGUACAAUUCAUAAAUCACCAUACGGAACUAUUUCCAGGCUCAAAAUCCCAAACAGACCUCGAUAACACCAAAGUCUACUCUAAACAAAAUUUAAAGAAAUAGAAAACCUUCAAUGAACCGAUGGAACAAUACGAACCUAUUGGAACCAUCAAAUUCCGAUUCCGAGGUCGUUUACUCAAAAUGUUGACUCAAGUCAAACUUGGUCAUCAUAGGCCACUAUUAAGGAACUAAGUGUUCCGAUUUCAACCUGAACCCUUCCAAACCUAAACCAACUAUCCCCGCAAGUCAUAAAAUAUUAAAAUUAUAUACGGGAAGUCGUAAUUAGGGGAACGUGGAUCUAGAAAAUAAAUGAUCAGUCGGGUCGUUACAUUUAUACUCUAAGAUUCACUCACAAAAGCUUACAAUUUUCAGCUUACUAUUAAGUGUUCAGCUACUAUCUUUUACUCUCAAAGUUUUAUGUUUUUCUUAGAGUGAAUGAUAUGUCUAAGUGUGUGUGUGUAUAGUGAGGAAAGAACCAUCCCUUAAGUAGGCAAAGAAGGGCACUUUUUGGACAGAUUUUGGUCCACAAAAAAUCUGUCCAAAAAGGACUAAUUGUGUGCAAACACUGUUCAAAGGGCUGUCCAAAAGGUGAAAGGACAGUUUGAAAAUCUGUUGUAGUAGAGGCAAGGAGGAAAAAGUCAUUUCAGCCACCCUACUAGCAAAAACGAAGGCUACUAGUACCUUAUAUCAUGAUUGAUUUAAUCUAAACUUCAUCUUUAAACCAACACCAAUCUACUUGCUCAAAACAAAUAAAAAAUAGAAAUAUGACCUAACUAGACUUAACAAUUUGAACUAUUAAUCAACAAGAGAAGUCGGAACUUAACAAAAUUAAAGCCAAGCUAAAUGCUUAUUAAAUAGUGAAGCAAUUAGAAAAUUAACUAAUCAAAGAAGAAAUCAGAAAUACUAAACAUGAAUUAGUCGGAACUUAAAACCAAACAAACUACAAUCAAACUCAAAGGGAAAAACAUAAACAAAAUUGCUAGAAGCCUUCAAUCUGAUUUAGACAACUAAUUAUACUAUUCGAAAAUGACUUAAACAAACAAACAACUAAACCGACAAAUAGUUAUGCCGACAUGCUGAAGCCUGAAAGUUUAGUUAAUAAGUACGACUAAUUAACCAUGAUUUAAAAAUGAUAAUUAGAAGCUAAAAAGUUAUAAACUUGAAACUAAAACUAAUUUCAGAGCUAAGCCAAAUGCAUGUUAACAGUGGGGUAAAACUAAUGAAACCGAUUAAGUUAAGCAAAGACAAAAAUCAAAAAAUAGAUUAAAUACGACCUAGACAAUUAUUAACAGAAUUUAAACUUAGAAUACAACGAGAAAGAGAUUAGGAUUUAUACCAACAAGGGAACAAUGUUAACUCGAACAACAAGAACGGGUCGUGGAUGCCGAGAAAAGGCAGUACGAGCAAGCUUCGAUUGUUGAUACUCAUAGAAACCACGGAAUCCGAUGAAUCAAAGUUUAGCUUUCAUGGCAUCAACAAUACAACCUUGUUCGGAGCCGGUGCGGAGGUGAAAGUAUGAGACAGUGGCGAUUUCGGGUUGGAGAUAAGAAAAUAAGAGGAAGAGAGAAGGAGAAGAGUAUAAACUUUAGAGAGUUGAGGCCACUGAUCGGCGGUGGAGCAGCGGCGGCAGUUAGGUGGUCGGCGGUGGUGGACGGCUUUUGGGGGAUGAAAUGGGUAGAAAAGGAUAGAUCUCGAGGAGAUCUAUCCGUGUAUGUAUGUAUUACGUGGUGUGGAAGGUUAGAACUCGCCGUAUUUUAGGGUGGCGGCGGCUAGGGUUUUUCGAAUUUAGAUAGAUUUGGUGAGAUUGGGGGUGAUUUCGGGGAUUUGGGGUUGGGAUAAGGGUAGAGGAUAAGGAGAGGAGAAGAUUGGUGUAAUUGGGGGGUGUUUGGAGGUUAGCCGCCGCCGGUGGGCAAUUUACGGCAGUGGAACAGGGCGGAGGGACGAGAGACAGUGAAGAGAGAAGGAGAAGAGAAGAGACUAGGGCAAAAAUAUGGUAAUUGGGG
Molecule: long non-coding RNA, 3786 nt
Filed under: Nicotiana tabacum (common tobacco)
Lineage: Eukaryota; Viridiplantae; Streptophyta; Magnoliopsida; Solanales; Solanaceae
Description: long non-coding RNA (NTAB_LNC018808)
Source: RNAcentral